GGAGAGGUGGCCGAGUGGUCGAAGGCGCACGAUUGGAAUUCGUGUAAACGUUAAUCCGUUUCGUGGGUUCGAAUCCCACCCUCUCCGCCA
RNAcentral lists this transfer RNA (90 nucleotides) under Gammaproteobacteria bacterium. Its description in RNAcentral is "tRNA-Ser". It matches the Rfam family "tRNA". Rfam says of the family: Transfer RNA (tRNA) molecules are approximately 80 nucleotides in length. Their secondary structure includes four short double-helical elements and three loops (D, anti-codon, and T loops). RNAcentral also lists the same sequence under 1 other name. The record is from RNAcentral. Lineage: Bacteria; Pseudomonadati; Pseudomonadota; Gammaproteobacteria.